UAUAAUUAUACCCUUCCCUAAUUUUAAUAAGUCUCAUUUAAAUAAAAUAUUUCAUUUAAAGAAUUAAUAAGAAAUGACGUAAAAGAACAUUAUUUGUUAAAUAUUGAAGGAAAGAAAUUGAACGGCGUCGCAUUGAGAUCUCGACGCGCGAACUCUCUUCUAUAGUUCUAUAGUAAGGGAUGUAACAUGAUUAAAAAAAUGAAUUCUAGGUACUUAAUGUACAAAUUAAUAUGUACUUGUGACGCGUUGCCUGAUCACAAUAUAUAUGCAUCUUUCACGACUUAAUUUACACGAUGAU
Juglans microcarpa x Juglans regia is the source of this 298-nucleotide long non-coding RNA. RefSeq lists it as uncharacterized. The record is from RefSeq and is a predicted model, not a curated record. The transcript has 2 exons. NCBI's taxonomy places the organism in Eukaryota, Viridiplantae, Streptophyta, Magnoliopsida, Fagales, Juglandaceae.